Molecule: ribosomal RNA, 402 nt
Filed under: uncultured bacterium
Lineage: Bacteria
Description: bacterial SSU rRNA
Rfam family: Bacterial small subunit ribosomal RNA
Source: RNAcentral
UGGGGAAUCUUGCACAAUGGGGGCAACCCUGAUGCAGCGACGCCGCGUGAGCGAUGAAGCCCUUCGGGGCGUAAAGCUCUUUCGACCGGAACGAUAAUGACGGUACCGGGAGAAGAAGCUGCGGCUAACUACGUGCCAGCAGCCGCGGUAAUACGUAGGCAGCAAGCGUUGUUCGGCGUUACUGGGCGUAAAGAGUGCGUAGGCGGUUUUCUAAGUUCGGUGUGAAAUCUCCCGGCUUAACUGGGAGGGUGCGCCGAAGACUGGGAAGCUGGAGUGUGGGAAAGGCAGGCGGAAUUCCUGGUGUAGCGGUGAAAUGCGUAGAUAUCAGGAGGAACACCGGCGGUGUAGACGGCUUGCUAGACCAUAACUGACGCUGAGGCACGAAAGCGUGGGUAGCAAACA